This is a long non-coding RNA of Sycon ciliatum, 807 nucleotides long. RefSeq lists it as uncharacterized. The transcript is spliced from 2 exons. NCBI's taxonomy places the organism in Eukaryota, Metazoa, Porifera, Calcarea, Leucosolenida, Sycettidae. The record is from RefSeq and is a predicted model, not a curated record.
UAUGAUUUCAAACAACUGAACGACGAAAAUGAUCCGUCGUCGCCUCUUUGCAGUAGUUGCCGAUACAUCCUUGUCGGAGAGAUUGCAACUAGAUCUGUCACUCCCUCUGAGUCUCGAUAGAGCUCUGGUCCAAGCUGGCCAGAAGGAAACUGUUGACCAGCAACAACCUUGUUGGUCAAAGUUCUGCAACGUCAGACCGCUGUACAACUUCACACAAAGGGUUGCGUCCUCAAGCAUGAACUCGCCUGCCUUCUAGGCCAACUCACAUUCGCGUCCCACCAUCUGCCCUACGCUGCCUGUCUGCCCUUUUCAAGACCACAUCUGAGAUAUCAUCCCGCAGAAUGCUGAACCUCUCAGACUCAACCAAGGAUGACCUGAGCUGGUGGCACCAGACUCUGUCAACAUAUUGAAGGUGGGCACACACCGUUUAGUUCUCCUGUGGUCAUUGCACUCGUCAGCACCCUCUACUUAUCUGUGUCCAGCACCACUUACUGUUCGGAGCAUCACACUUGCCAGUCAACUCCAAUGCCAGUGGCUGAUGCUCUGUCCGGACCAAGUUGGAUGCCUUCAGAACCUUUGCUCCCACAGCUGCGGAGCGGCCUGACGCCAAGGUCAAGCCGAUCACUGCAGCAAAGUUCCUCCUUCUAUUUGGGCAAGCUCCCUUUGCUGCACGAGCAAUUUUCCGGCGUAGAAUGCGGGACACCGGCAAGGAGCUCAUCAAGAUAAUUGUCUUACUGCGAGACAUUGGCUGUGUUCACAUCUGUGUUGCUUGAACUCUUCUCAGUAUCCUCUUUAUCACAUGCUGUC